Long non-coding RNA from Musa acuminata AAA Group (dessert banana), 539 nucleotides. RefSeq lists it as uncharacterized. The record is from RefSeq and is a predicted model, not a curated record. The transcript is spliced from 3 exons. NCBI's taxonomy places the organism in Eukaryota, Viridiplantae, Streptophyta, Magnoliopsida, Zingiberales, Musaceae.
UGCCGUAUUUAACUUCGUUGACAAAGUGCGCUCAUAAGAUAAGGGUGCAUCUGGUUUGACUCUCGACUGCUGUAGUUGGAAGUUUAUUGUUUACCCACCCUUUGAAUUUAACUUCUGAUAAUGACACCGCAAAACAAAUGCAAUGAAUUAGCUUUCUUUCUUCUUUUCAGGAUAUGUUUCAGAAAAGAAGGUUUGGUGAGACCAUGUGAUGAAAUGAACCGAGCGAAGAGAGAUGAGAAGCUCCACCGACUGUCCUCACAUUGUUUUGAUAAGGUCUGAGACAGCAGCGCAGGAGAUUGCCUUUUGACCACAGACGACUGAGACAACAGGUUUCAUAUUCUUCAUUUGCAACCACGAAGGAUCAUGCAAAUGGAUGUUGCAUCUAACAUCACCUCCACAGAUGGUUUCCAGAAAUGUAUGUUGUAUGUGAAAGAGAGAGAGAGGUUUUGGUACUCAGUAGGAUGGCGGAUGACGCGAACUCGUUGAGGUCCACGCACCGAACACCUCGUGCGGCAUCUGCCCAUUGGGAAGCAGGCUCG